This is a non-coding RNA of Chiloscyllium plagiosum (whitespotted bambooshark), 169 nucleotides long. The record is from RefSeq and is a predicted model, not a curated record. NCBI's taxonomy places the organism in Eukaryota, Metazoa, Chordata, Chondrichthyes, Orectolobiformes, Hemiscylliidae.
CAAACAAUAUUUCAAUUCCAUCUCAAACAUCAAAAACUGUGCUAGCUCAAGACAGAAAUGAAAGCAAUUAACAUUUCUAUAAGACAGUACCCAGGAUCGCCAACCCUCCAGGAAUUGAAAAAUCAAUCUAUGUGCAACCCCAGAGGACAUUAAACAAGAUUUUAUUUUU